GGCCCGUUGGUCAAGUGGUUAAGACAUCGCCCUUUCACGGCGGUAUCACGGGUUCGAAUCCCGUACGGGUCACCA
This 75-nucleotide transfer RNA is filed under the name Salinibacillus aidingensis. Its description in RNAcentral is "tRNA-Glu". It matches the Rfam family "tRNA". From Rfam's summary of the family: Transfer RNA (tRNA) molecules are approximately 80 nucleotides in length. Their secondary structure includes four short double-helical elements and three loops (D, anti-codon, and T loops). Lineage: Bacteria; Bacillati; Bacillota; Bacilli; Caryophanales; Bacillaceae. The record is from RNAcentral. RNAcentral also lists the same sequence under 4 other names.